This 411-nucleotide ribosomal RNA is filed under the name uncultured bacterium. RNAcentral's name for it is "bacterial SSU rRNA". It matches the Rfam family "Bacterial small subunit ribosomal RNA", at positions 27 to 440 of the family's 1533-position model. The record is from RNAcentral.
GAUUGAACGCUGGCGGCGUGCCUAACACAUGCAAGUCGAGCGGUAACAGGUGUAGCAAUACAUGCUGACGAGCGGCGAACGGGUGAGUAGUGCUUCGGAAUCUACCCAAUGGUGGGGAAUAACCAGCCGAAAGGUUGGCUAAUACCGCAUACGUCCCACGGGAGAAAGCAGGGGAUCGCAAGACCUUGCGCCAAUGGGAUGAGCCGAAGUCGGAUUAGCUAGUUGGAGGGUAACGGCCUACCAAGGCGACGAUCCGUAGCUGGUCUGAGAGGACGACCAGCCACACUGGGACUGAGACACGGCCCAGACUCCUACGGGAGCAGCAGUGGGGAAUAUUGGACAAUGGGGGAACCCUGAUCCAGCGACGCCGCGUGUGUGAAGAAGGCCUGCGGGUUGUAAAGCACUUUUAGU